ACGCUCGACACCUACGGGAGGCGGCAGUGAGGAAUAUUGGUCAAUGGGCGCUAGCCUGAACCAGCCAAGUAGCGUGAAGGAUGAAGGCUCUAUGGGUCGUAAACUUCUUUUAUAUAAGAAUAAAGUGCAGUAUGUAUACUGUUUUGUAUGUAUUAUAUGAAUAAGGAUCGGCUAACUCCGUACCAGCAGCCGCGGUAAUCUGAGCGGGCUGGCAAGGC
This 218-nucleotide ribosomal RNA is filed under the name uncultured bacterium. Its description in RNAcentral is "partial 16S ribosomal RNA". It matches the Rfam family "Bacterial small subunit ribosomal RNA", at positions 328 to 539 of the family's 1533-position model. The record is from RNAcentral.